Molecule: non-coding RNA, 2906 nt
Organism: Sesamum indicum (sesame)
Lineage: Eukaryota; Viridiplantae; Streptophyta; Magnoliopsida; Lamiales; Pedaliaceae
Source: RefSeq, a predicted model, not a curated record
CCCAACAUCAACCGCCUUCUAUUUUUCACUCUCUUAUUGGGCAGUUGCCUUCGCCUCUUUCUCGCUCUCCAUAAACCCUAACAAAAACCCUCCGCUGAUUAGGGUUUUUUCCUCAUUUUCUCGUCUCUCCUCUUCACUGUUCGUUCCUAAAAGGGGAGAAAAAUGGGUAGCCUCCUUUUGAUCAGGAGAUCUUCUUCUUCAUCGAAGAGGCUCGCUGUCACUGCGCUCAGCCAUUUCUUCUAUGAGAAAUCGUCUGUAGUCUCUUCUCAUGCCACUAUUUCUCCAAAUAUUCGCGCCUAUGAAACUGGGACUGCUUUUUCUAAGCCUUCGCCUGUGUUUGAAUCGACAAGGGGUUUCCAUUCGGGCCUGGCUUUACGGGCUGGGUUUGCAGUGGCUGACUAUUCUGAUGCCGAAGAGAGAAGGGCUUCAAAUGGGUCUGCCGACGAGGGGCUUGAGAUCUCGAAGCUUGGGAUUUCGCAAGAUAUUGUAUCGGCCUUGGCAGGGAGGGGUAUCGAUAAGCUUUUCCCAAUUCAGAGGGCAGUCUUGGAACCGGCUAUGCAGGGUCGUGACAUGAUAGGUCGAGCAAGAACUGGAACAGGAAAGACGCUAGCUUUUGGGAUUCCCAUUAUGGAUAAAAUCAUUAAGUUCAAUGAGAAGCAUGGACAGGGAAGGAAUCCUUUAGCAAUUAUACUGGCCCCGACUAGAGAACUUGCUCGACAAGUUGACAAAGAAUUUGCUGAGUCUGCCCCAAGAUUAGAUACAUUGUGUGUCUAUGGUGGUGUUCCGAUAUCUCGCCAAAUGAGUACUCUUGACCGGGGUGUUGAUGUGAUUGUUGGCACUCCUGGCCGUGUCAUUGAUUUGAUCAAGCGUGGUGCCUUGAAUUUAUCGGAAGUUCAAUUUGUUGUCCUUGAUGAAGCUGAUCAGAUGCUUAAUGUGGGAUUUGCUGAUGAUGUUGAGACUAUCUUGGGAUACAUUACACAGAAGCAUCAGACAAUGAUGUUUUCAGCUACAAUGCCAAGUUGGAUAGUGAAGCUUACUCGGAAGUUCCUAAAAGACCCAGUUACCAUUGACCUUGUUGGAGAAUCUGAUCAGAAAUUAGCUGAUGGGAUUUCCCUGUAUGCAAUUACAUCAGACAUACGAGAGAAACCAGCAAUAAUUGGACCCCUGAUAACUGAGCAUGCAAAAGGAGGUAAAUGUAUUGUAUUUACUCAAACAAAGCGUGAUGCUGAUCGAUUGGCAUAUGCUAUGCAAAGGAGCUUUAGAUGUGAAGCGUUGCAUGGUGAUAUCUCACAAAACCAAAGGGAGAGAACGCUGUCUGCUUUUAGAGAUGGACGGUUCAAUAUUUUAGUGGCUACUGAUGUAGCUGCCCGCGGCCUUGACGUUCCAAAUGUUGAUCUGGUGAUACAUUAUGAACUUCCAAACUCAUCAGAGAUUUUUGUUCAUCGAUCGGGACGAACUGGUCGUGCUGGGAAGAAAGGUAGUGCAAUUCUCAUCUAUUCGUCCCACCAAUAUAGAGAGGUUAAGGCUAUUGAACGUGAAGUUGGAUGCAGAUUUACAGAGCUCCCUAAGGUAGCUGUUGAAGAUGGAGACUUGGACAUGUAUGGCAUGGAACAGGGUGGUCGGUUUGGUUCUGGUGGAAAUAGGGGAGGUGGUCGAUUUGGUGAUUCUGGGUUUGGACGUUCUGGUGGUCUCAGUGAUUCUAGGGGUGGUCGAUUUGGUGGAUAUGGAAAUUCUGGGGGUGGUCGUUUUGGGGGACCUGGUUCAGGUGGUGGAUUUGGUGGAUACGGAAAUUCAGGGGGUGGUCGCUUUGGGGGAUCUAGUUCAGGUGGUGGAUUUGGUGGACAGGGUUCGGGCCGCUCGGGCAAUUUUGGUGGUUUUGGUUCUGGGCGCUCAGGUGGUUUUGGAGACCUGGGUGGUUCAGAACGAAGCAGUGGCUUCGGAAGAGUUGGUGGUUCGAGUCGUUCAAGUGGUUUUGGGGAUUUUAGUUCAGAUCGUUCCAGUGGAUUUGGCCAUUCUGAAUCUGGGCAGACCUCCCGUUCAACCCGCUUUGAUGGAUUUGAUGACCAUGAUGGUGAUAACAAGAAUACAGGGAGGAGAUUUUUGUGAGGCUAUGGAAGUCUGACAUGACAGAUGCGGUGGGUGAUGUGAAGACUGCAAAGAUGCUAAUUGAGGACUGAAGUUUGUUAGGCAACUUGCAAGCUAACAUCCACCCAUAACCUGUCUGCUUCUGGGCUCAAAUAGUUGAUGGCCUGGAUGAUAUUGUUCAUGUAUCUUUUUGUCUGAAGGGAAAAUUUAGGGAUUAGCACCGAGCCUUAGGUGCUGCUUGAAAUCUAAUAUAUGUUAUCUGUUUUCUUUUUCUUAACAGUAUCUGCUAGUGUCAAUAGUUGCUCAUUUGGAGUGUGGGACAGUAUUCAGAAACCAGCGAUAAUUCUUUGCUUCAGAAUAUUUACAGAGUCGCCGUGUUGUACCUUGACAGCAUAUGUAAUGCUGAGAGAUUGUGGGCUAUGCAUUGCUUUCUACAUGUAUAAAAGAAUCAGCUAUAGGCUUAUAUGAAAUAGGUACUACAUAAUCAGACCAUCCGUGACCAUUGGAUGAUAAGGGGUGGGUGAUCUCCCCCCUCCCCGGCCACUUCAUGUAAUCCAGUGAUCCAUGACCAUUGGAUGAUAAAGGGUGGGUAGCCCUUCAUAAAAAAGGAUGGAGCAUGCAUGUUUUACACCACAAACUGAGAUGACUAGAUGCAAAAGUAGCCCAGAAAGGACCAGAAGGAUACAUAUUAACUUCGGAUCACGUCUUAAGCUACACGAAAUGUAACCAUACUAUGUCUUUAGUACUUAGAAUAGACACCAUUGUCUUCAACAUGCAUACUUGUCGGAUACCUAAUCCUACUUACACAGUUUCUUUCAUAA